AUCUGCUCAAAAAAUGAUGUCCAAAUGAUAACACUGCAAUCCUAUUCUAGAAAGACCUUUUAUAAUUAGUGGGGAAAAACGUUAUAUACAAAUCUAACCAAUAAAAAGGUUUUAGAAAUGAAUGUCGUGCUUGUGCAUGUGCAAACAUGUGUGUCUGUGAGAAUGAUUGUAAAAAUAGAACCAGGAGCUAGAGUGAACUACCCACAGACCUAUCUGCUCGAGAACAGUUAAG
Molecule: unclassified non-coding RNA, 232 nt
Filed under: Hevea brasiliensis (rubber tree)
Lineage: Eukaryota; Viridiplantae; Streptophyta; Magnoliopsida; Malpighiales; Euphorbiaceae
Source: RNAcentral